AAACUUUCAGCAACGGAUCUCUUGGUUCUCGCAUCGAUGAAGAACGCAGCGAAUUGCGAUAAGUAAUGUGAAUUGCUGAUUUUCGUGAAUCAUCGAAUCUUUGAACGCAUAUUGCGCUCUAUAGUAUUCUAUAGAGCAUGCCUGUUUGAGCGUCAUUU
RNAcentral lists this ribosomal RNA (158 nucleotides) under uncultured eukaryote. RNAcentral describes it as "5.8S ribosomal RNA". It matches the Rfam family "5.8S ribosomal RNA". Rfam says of the family: 5.8S ribosomal RNA (5.8S rRNA) is a component of the large subunit of the eukaryotic ribosome. It is transcribed by RNA polymerase I as part of the 45S precursor that also contains 18S and 28S rRNA. The record is from RNAcentral.